RNA transcript from Amphibalanus amphitrite, 3687 nucleotides. It is a transcript of the gene named serine protease HTRA2, mitochondrial-like, with no coding region annotated. The transcript has 2 exons. The record is from RefSeq and is a predicted model, not a curated record. Lineage: Eukaryota; Metazoa; Arthropoda; Thecostraca; Balanomorpha; Balanidae.
GGAAUACAGCUUUCUGAAGUAUAAAAAGCGUAUCAAGCAAGUAUUCAGCAAGAGCACGUCUACCACAUGUGUUCUUUGAUGCUCUUCAAACGACUCAGUCGAGGUCGGAGGCCUUCGCAGACCUCCAAGUGAAGAUUGAAGGACUGCCUGGGUGUCACACUUUCCAUGCAAAAGUGGACACUGGUGCAGAUGGCAACAUCCUACCAGUCAGGUGCCUCAAGAAGAUGCCCUCAAGUGUGCACCUCCAAAAUGACAAAACCAGGAUCACAGCAUACAACGGCACGGACAUCAAACAACAUGGUGUCUUGGAAGUUGAGUGCUUCUUCAACGGGAAAAGGUCAACACAAAAGUUCCAUGUGGUUGACUGCGAGGGUCCCAUCCUGGUUGGUCUGCCAGCAUGUGAGAAGCUGGACCUCGUCCGCCUAAACCAGCAAGUGCACAUGGUGAAAUCAAAGGUCAGAGAUGAAGUGCAUGCUCAUGAAAUCAUCACAGACACUCAGCAGCUCAUCAAGGAGUACCCGGACCAGUUUCGAGGACUGGGCAAGUUUCCAGGAACAGCCUCAAUCGAAGUUGACCCAACAAUCAAGCCUGUGGUGCAUCCUCCAAGGAAGUGCCCUAUCCACCUGCGAGAUGACUUAAAAAAGGAGCUAGAUACCAUGGAGAAGAUGGGCGUCAUCAAACCCAUGCAAGAGCCCACUGACUGGGUAUCCAGUCUGGUCAUCACGAAGAAACCAGACGGGAAGCUGCGGGUCUGCCUUGACCCAAAGGACCUAAACAGGGCCAUAAAGAGGCCACAUCACAGGAACAUCACAACUGAAGAAAUCACCCAUCAGCUGGCUGGGGCAACAACCUUCUCGAAGUUGGACGCCCGUGCAGGCUACUGGGCCAUCCAGCUGGAUGAGGAGUCAAGCAAGCUGACUACCUUCAACUCACCAUUCGGCAGAUACAGGUUCUGCAGGCUGCCGUUUGGCAUCAGGCUCUCACAAGAUCUCUUCCAGAGGAAAAUGGAUGAAAUCCUCACAGAAUUGGAAGGAGUCAUCAACAUCGCAGAUGACAUCUGUGUGUAUGGCAAGGACGCAACCGAGCACACGGAACGGCUCCUCGCCCUCAUGAAGCGCGCGCAAGAAAAAGGUCUAGUCUUCAAUCCGGACAAGUGCGCCAUCGGCCUGAGUCAAGUGUCCUUCUUCGGACAUGUGUACAGUGCGAACGGUGUAUCGCCCGACCCCGCAAAGGUGGAAGCGAUCAAGAACAUCGAGCGCCCCAAGAACGUGGCAGAGCUGCAGUCGUUCCUGGGUAUGUGCACUUACCUGUCUCCGUUCAUUCCAGGUUUCUCAGAUCUGACACAUCACCUGAGGCAGAUGUUGAAGAACGCCAUCGUCGAGUGGUCUCCAAAAGCCUGCAAGGACUUCCAGACACUAAAGGACAUCAUUUCCUCAGAUGCAGUACUGGCAUACUACGACCCGUCGAGACCGGUAACGCUUGAAGUUGAUGCUUCCGGUGUGGCGCUGGGCGCAGUGCUGUUGCAGGAUGGCCAGCCAGUCGCGUUCGGCUCGAAAGCACUAAGCGAUACUGAGACGAGGUACGCCAACAUCGAACGGGAGAUGCUUGCAGUGGUGUUCGGGUGCGAAAAAUUCAGAACAUAUCUGUUCGGACGCACAUUCGAGGUCAUAUCUGAUCACAAACCCCUAGAGAUGAUACUGCAGAAGAGCAUAGCUCGCGCCCCCGCGCGCCUGCAGCGGAUGCUUCUCCGCAUCGAAAACUACACGUUUACCCUGAAGUACCGGAAGGGUGACACAAUGUAUGUGUCUGACGCGCUAUCCAGACUUCCCACAGAACGACCAAGUCCGACGACUACUCUUCAGCUGGACGUCUGCAUCGGCCUGGUGCAGUUCACCCCAUCACGCCUGGAGGAGCUGCGAGAAGAAACCCGCCGAGACGAGACACUACACCAGCUGAAGAAGGUCAUCCUGAGCGGGUGGCCAGCAAGACGCUGCGAAGCCCACCCAGCGGUCAAACCGUUCUGGUCGGUCCGAGACGCCCUGGUGAUCGACGAUGGACUGGUCAUCAAGGGCACCGCCGUGGUCAUCCCGGAUCAGCUUCAGCAGUGGUACGUCGAAAGACUACAUGAAGGACAUCAAGGCCGUGUGAAGAUGGAACUGCGAGCCAGAGACUCAAUCUUCUGGCCAACGCUGAAGAAGGACGUGGAGGCGCGCGUCGCUGCCUGCCUGCCCUGCCAGGCAUCACGUCCCGCUGCAAGUGCAAGCACAAUCGAAGCUGAGCACCAGCACCCAGUUCCCCCCGGUCCCUGGACCGAUGUCAGCACGGACCUGUUUUACAGCAAUGGGAGGCACUUUAUCAUCAUAGUGGACCACUACUCCAAGUUCCCAUUCGUCUACGAGCUGACGAGCACGACCAGCACGCAAGUGAUCAAGGUCAUGAUGCAGCUGUUCGCUGAACAUGGAUCACCGAGCACUGUGUACUCUGACAACGGCCCCCAGUACAGUUCGAAAGAGUUCAGGACAUUCAGCGAGAUGUUCGGGUUCAAACACGUGACAUCGUCCCCGCAUCACCCGCAGAGCAACGGCAUCGCGGAGCGUCAUGUGAAAACCGUGAAAAGCCUGCUGCAGAAGUGCGCUGGGAACUACACCAAGUUCCAGAUCGGUCUCCGCACCCUGAGGGCCACUCCGAUUGACAGCGUUCUCCCGUCACCCGCAGAGCUGCUGUUCGGUCGCAGAAUCGAUCAGCUUCCUCAUCGACACAUGGAGAGCCAGGAAACGACGAACCACCGAAACCGUCUGGAGUACCGCCAGCAACAGCAGCGCGACAGCCACAACGCACGCGUCGGGCAACGCCGCCCUGAGCCGAUGCUGCUUCCUGGUGACGCGGUAUUCAUCAGAAACAAGGCGACGAGCACGUGGGAACAGGGAACCAUCAAAGCGGAACACGAGGCACCAUCGUCCUACAUGGUUCAGCGCGGGUCCCGCCCGCUAUCCAGAGCGAGCAGCACGUCCUCGGUGGACACGGACGACGACGCCCCGCGGCCCGUGAGGCGGACCGCCCAGGACAUUCGUCCGGAUCCUAGCGCUGCGCGUACCCGAUCCGGCCGAGUGACGCGAGCGCCUAUCCGUUUGGACUUGUGAGCGUUCGUGAGAAGGGGGAUGUGAUAGUUUAUCUUACAGCAGUAGUUUAGCGGUCUUUAUCUUAUAGCAGUAGUUUAGCGUCACACGACCAUAUUCAUGUAACCUUGGUUUGCGCCGUUGUUCGUCGCCCUCGUGUGAGACGCUCUUUGUCUAUAUUGUCGAUCUUGAACUGACUCAAUGCACAGUUGUGGAAUACAGCUUUCUGAAGUAUAAAAAGCGUAUCAAGCAAGUAUUCAGCAAGAGCACGUCUACCACAGGCUGCAAUUGAAAAGAUAACGACUUCAGUUCAGACUUUGUGUGUUCGGCCUCCGCCAUGUCGACAAAUGCUGCGCAGCAAAUACAAAAUCCAGAAAUGUGGUAAUGGAGUUCUGGCCACCAAAUAGAAAAAGCCUGCCAAGUUUAUGAUGCUCUGCAUGUUAUGUAGUUUUGAUAAUAAACGACGCAUGGGCUUCAAAUGAAUUGUAUGUUGUACAUUUGGGCAUCAUAUGAGUGGAAUAUUGCAAAGUUUUUACCCAACAUUUAAGCAUAAGACUAAGUUGUUUCAAUA